AUUGAACGCUGGCGGCAGGCCUAACACAUGCAAGUCGAGCGGAUGAAGGGAGCUUGCUCCUGGAUUCAGCGGCGGACGGGUGAGUAAUGCCUAGGAAUCUGCCUGGUAGUGGGGGAUAACGUCCGGAAACGGGCGCUAGUACCGCAUACGUCCUGAGGGAGAAAGUGGGGGAUCUUCGGACCUCACGCUAUCAGAUGAGCCUAGGUCGGAUUAGCUAGUUGGUGGGGUAGAGGCCUACCAAGGCGACGAUCCGUAACUGGUCUGAGAGGAUGAUCAGUCACACUGGAACUGAGACACGGUCCAGACUCCUACGGGAGGCAGCAGUGGGGAAUAUUGGACAAUGGGCGAAAGCCUGAUCCAGCCAUGCCGCGUGUGUGAAGAAGGUCUUCGGAUUGUAAAGCACUUUAAGUUGGGAGGAAGGGCAGUAAGUUAAUACCUUGCUGUUUUGACGUUACCAACAGAAUAAGCACCGGCUAACUUCGUG
Molecule: ribosomal RNA, 484 nt
Filed under: uncultured bacterium
Lineage: Bacteria
Description: partial 16S ribosomal RNA
Rfam family: Bacterial small subunit ribosomal RNA
Source: RNAcentral